GUACGCGUGGUAAUGAGGUCUGGACGCUGGAGGAGGAGAGCUCUUCACACGCACGACAGGAGUUUAUAGUUCACCAGCACUUCCAUCUACAUUGGUCUGCCUUACUAUGCCUCGACACUGGGAGGGACAACUACAUCAUCUUCUUGGCGGAGGUCACUGAGCUUCCUGUUGCCCGUCAUGGAGGAUUGGGACCACCAUUGAACCCUUAGCUUCUCAUUGGUGGUGGGCGGCAGUGCAUGUGUCGCCACGGUGGUCACCCAGGAAGAUUCUGCCUGGAGCCAGCAACCAAGGAAGGGAGGAAGGAAUUGCCAAGUAGGGAAGCAAGGAAGGACAAAUAUGCAUUACUAAGUUUCCCCAGGUACCCAUUCAUUGACCAGCCUGAUAGGGAGGAUGAGCAGCUAUCUGGGUUGCACACCGACUUCCUGUUCUGAGAUAUGAACCCAGGCCUGCGUAUUCACAGCAAGGCGUGAUAACCACUUCACCAUGGAGGUGCUUGGUAGUAAUGGUACAUUGUGUGUGUCGGUCAGGCAGCCCAUCCUCAUGCCUGGCCCUCAAAACUUCAACCAUUAAGGUAGAAGCUGCUGCACUCUUCCUGUCUCCUGUCAGCACACUGUUGGCCAUGCACACGUUGGUCAGCCCUCCCCACCAGGCAGCCCUCCAUCCAUUACUUGAGAGGGUCGUGUGCCAGUCAAACCAGCCCGUUGUGAUGUCUGGCCCUUAGAACCCCAUCAUCAAAGUAGAAGCGUGGCACUCCUCAUGCCUCUCCUGUCAACAUGCUGUUCAUGCAUCAUCUCUCUUCCCAUAGCUCUCCUGACCUCGAGGAAUGGAACGGACAGCUCCUGCAGACUGACUGGCGGGUGCCUGCAUCCCCCUGCUGUAUCUAAAAGGUUUAGUCUCUUUCCAUGGCCACAACUCCUGAUGUAGACCACAGUUCACCCCACAACUGGAAGAAGCAACAACACUAAAAUAAGACAAGUUUCUGCUCCAUCAUCAUUCACUCUUCUGAAAGGAACAUAAAUGAUGAUCAUUCUAGAAAAAAUGGAGCUCAACUGUUGUAUUAGUGAUUAUUACGGGGUUUUCUGUAAAGCAUUCUGUAAUAAUGUUGUAAGGCUAUUCAAUAAAUAUAUACUGAUGU
This is a long non-coding RNA of Eriocheir sinensis (Chinese mitten crab), 1135 nucleotides long. RefSeq lists it as uncharacterized. NCBI's taxonomy places the organism in Eukaryota, Metazoa, Arthropoda, Malacostraca, Decapoda, Varunidae. The transcript is spliced from 7 exons. The record is from RefSeq and is a predicted model, not a curated record.